Molecule: ribosomal RNA, 1270 nt
Filed under: Pareas monticola
Lineage: Eukaryota; Metazoa; Chordata; Lepidosauria; Squamata; Pareidae
Description: partial 16S ribosomal RNA
Rfam family: Bacterial large subunit ribosomal RNA
Source: RNAcentral
AAAUCAAACAUCCCCCCCCCCCAAAAAACAAACCAUUUGACAAACCAAGUAGAUGCGAUCGAACAGUAUUCUUACCCACAGUACCGCAAGGGAAAUCUAUUAAGCAAAAAAUAGCAAAGAUUAAACCUUGUACCUUUUGCAUCAUGAUUUAGCAAGAACACAAGACAAAAAGAACUAUAGUCUAACAACCCGAAACCAGAUGAGCUACUUUCAAGCAGCCUAAAGGGCAAACCCGUCUCUGUAGCAAAAGAGUGGGAAGACUUCAAAGUAGCGGUGAAACGCUUAACGAAUCUGGAGAUAGCUGGCUACCCAGAAAAGAAUAUCAGUUCUACUUUAGACCAUAUCAACACACAAUAGUAAUCUAAAGACAUUCAAUAAGGGUACAGCCCUAUUGAAACAGGAGACAACCUGAGUUUGAGAGGAAAAUCACCAAUCUGACCAGUAGGCCUUAAAGCAGCCAUCUAAAAAAAUAUCGUUAAAGAAUUACUUUAAAAAUACACGCACCAACUAACUCCAAAAUAACUAAAGGUAAGCCUAUAAACAUAGACACUAUUAUGCUAAAACUAAUAAUAAGACAACCUCUCUCCAACGCACCCCUCCGCUAGAAACAGAAAACCUACUAGCAAUUAACAGACCACAAAAGGCAAUUAACAACCCAAUACACACCUUAACACACACUGUGGACCCGACACAGGAGCGUCAAAAAGAAAGAUUAAUCAUUACAAAAGGAACUCGGCAAACAUAGACUUCAACUGUUUAACAAAAACAUAACCUUUAGCCAAACAAAUAUUAAAGGCAACGCCUGCCCAGUGAACAUUAAACGGCCGCGGUACCCUAACCGUGCAAAGGUAGCGUAAUCAUUUGUCUAUUAAUUGUAGACCCGUAUGAAAGGCAAAAUGAGAGUCUAACUGUCUCUUGUAAUAGAUCAAUUAAACUGAUCUCCUAGUACAAAAGCUAGGAUACUAACAUAAGACCAGAAGACCCUGUGAAGCUUUAACUAACCCAUUAAACCAAAUAAUGACUACUUUCGGUUGGGGCGACCUUGGAAAAAAAGAAAACUUCCAAACAACAUGAUUAUACUCAUACCCAUUAGGCCAACAAGCCACUAUAAGACCCAGUAUAGCUGACAAAUGAACCAAGUUACUCCAGGGAUAACAGCGCUAUCUUCUUCAAGAGUCCAUAUCAAAAAGAAGGUUUACGACCUCGAUGUUGGAUCAGGACAUCCUGGUGGUGCAGCCGCUACCAAGGGUUCGUUUGUUCAACGACUAAC